Molecule: ribosomal RNA, 468 nt
Filed under: uncultured bacterium
Lineage: Bacteria
Description: partial 16S ribosomal RNA
Rfam family: Bacterial small subunit ribosomal RNA
Source: RNAcentral
GACGAACGCUGGCGGCGUGCUUAACACAUGCAAGUCGAACGGAAAGGCCCUGCUUUUGUGGGGUGCUCGAGUGGCGAACGGGUGAGUAACACGUGAGUAACCUGCCCUUGACUUUGGGAUAACUUCAGGAAACUGGGGCUAAUACCGGAUAGGAGCUCCUGCUGCAUGGUGGGGGUUGGAAAGUUUCGGCGGUUGGGGAUGGACUCGCGGCUUAUCAGCUUGUUGGUGGGGUAGUGGCUUACCAAGGCUUUGACGGGUAGCCGGCCUGAGAGGGUGACCGGCCACAUUGGGACUGAGAUACGGCCCAGACUCCUACGGGAGGCAGCAGUGGGGAAUAUUGCACAAUGGGCGGAAGCCUGGUGCAGCAACGCCGCGUGCGGGGUGGCGGCCUUCGGGUUGGAAACCGCUUUCGCCUGUGACGAAGCGUGAGUGACGGUAAUGGGUAAAGAAGCACCGGCUAACUACGUG